Long non-coding RNA from Hippocampus zosterae (dwarf seahorse), 1131 nucleotides. RefSeq lists it as uncharacterized. The record is from RefSeq and is a predicted model, not a curated record. The transcript has 3 exons. Lineage: Eukaryota; Metazoa; Chordata; Actinopteri; Syngnathiformes; Syngnathidae.
AAUAUACUGUUAUUCUUGACUUCUUUAUUUGAUUUCAGUCAUAACGGCCCUCCAAGGGAAACGGUCACUAAAAUGUGGCCCACAAUGGUGUGACACCCCGGCACUAAAGCAUAUGUAUGAAAGUCACUGUUGGGGACAACUUUUUUUUUUCCACAAAGGCUUGUUAUCGGUAGUGAUGGGUCCAGCGACACCGAUGCAUUGACACAUGCGCCGGGCUCACAGAGCAAACCACGUGUCGAUGCAUGUGCUGGCUCAUUACGUCACGUGAUUGACACGUGAACUGCGUUGACACAGUCUAGGCUUCUAAUUGACACACCGGCUGCGUUGACACAGUCCAGGCUGCUAAUUGACACAUGGCUGCGUUGACACAGUCCAGGCUGCUAAUUGACACGUGAACUGCACCGGUGCAGUUUAGACUGCAUCGGCUGCUUGGCACAGUACAGGCUGCGCCACUUAGUCCAGGGGGCGUCGACUCAGUGCAGAGGGCGUUGACGCAGCAAAAGCCCGCCGCACAGUGUUUAUAAGGAAGUGGGUUUGGCGACACAAUGCCACUUGCCGAAACAAGCCAGACCUCACUCACGCUCGCUUGUCGAAGUUCGUGUCAGUGCAGACUUCGUGUUCGUGCCUUGCCUUCCUUGCCGAUUAUGGAGCAGAGACGCAAAUCAUCCGCCAUGUGGGACCAUUUUGAUGUCCCGGAGAAUAAGGUGAAAUGUCGAAUUUGCCGGGUCGAAUUGUCAUACACCAACAGAAGCACCUCCACCAUGCUGAGGCAUUAUCGGGCCAAGCAUGAGAAUGAAGUUCGCGAUACACCCAGUAUUACGCCAGGUUCCACGAAGCAGCUGUACUGGAAGGACCAACACACUUCUUUCCCAAACCUCUCCCACCUCGCAAAGGAGUUCCUUUGUACGCCAGCCUCAUCCGUCCCUUGUGAGCGUGUGUUCUCCACAGCAGGAGAAAUCGCUUGUAAAAGACGCAACAGGCUGAAGUUUAAAACAUUGGAGCAUCUUAUUUUUCUCAAUAAAAAUUUGUGAAAUAAAAGCCCACAAGCAUCCUCAUUCAAAUGAUCUUCACAUUAUUGGAACACAUUGAAUGUUGCAAAAUGAAUGCAUGGAUGUGAAUGAUAUUGUACAC